AUGGCGACUGUGAUGGCCAUGGGCUCCUUCGCCGGUGCCGCCGUCCUGCCGCGGGGCUCGGCUGGCCGCUUCGGCGCCCGGUCUCUGCCAGCGCUGGGCCGACGCACCCUCAUCGUCAGGGCACAGACAAACAAACCCAAGACGAGCACCUCAAUCUGGAACGCGCUGGCGUUCAGCGGCCCUGCGCCGGAGCGAAUCAACGGGCGCCUUGCCAUGGUAGGCUUCGUGACGGCGCUUGCGGUGGAGGCAGGGCGCGGCGACGGGCUCCUCUCGCAGCUCGGCAGUGGCACCGGGCAGGCGUGGUUCGCCUACUGUGUGGCGGUGCUGUCCGUGGCGUCACUGGUGCCGUUGCUCCAGGGCGAGAGCGCCGAGGGCAGAGCCGGCGCCAUCAUGAACGCCAACGCGGAGCUCUGGAACGGCCGCUUCGCCAUGCUCGGCCUCGUCGCGCUCGCCGCCACCGAGAUCAUCACCGGCGCGCCUUUUAUCAACGUGUAA
RNAcentral lists this ribosomal RNA (495 nucleotides) under Triticum aestivum (bread wheat). Its description in RNAcentral is "partial small subunit ribosomal RNA". The record is from RNAcentral. Lineage: Eukaryota; Viridiplantae; Streptophyta; Magnoliopsida; Poales; Poaceae.